Molecule: long non-coding RNA, 6614 nt
Filed under: Sus scrofa (pig)
Lineage: Eukaryota; Metazoa; Chordata; Mammalia; Artiodactyla; Suidae
Description: lncRNA (ENSSSCG00065016796.1, ENSSSCG00105007573.1)
Source: RNAcentral
AUUAUGAUGUGUCAGUGAAAGUAAAGUUUCUUUAAAAAAAAAAAAGCAAUUAGUUUUAAGGAAAAUAUUGUACAUCUUAAUUAUAUGUCCUGUGAUCCAUGUUUUGUUUCUCUUUGGUGAAGAAUGACUAAUAGAUAAAAAUCAAACUUUGAUAUAAGGCUUUCUUCUUAGAGCAUUUCUCAGCCCAAGAAGAAAGCAGUUGUUACAGAUCAAUUGCUUUUCUUUUUUUAAGAUUAGCAAUGAAAGUUAAAAAGGAGAAAGCCAUUAUCGUUAGUGUGAUACUAUAAUCCAUUGGCUAUUGCCUCUUAGGGGAAUGUAAUUUCUUAAAGAGGCACUGGGGACCUGUCUUAGCUGAUUUUCUAAUGUUUCAUUUUUUUUACUUUUGUUACUUUGUUUUUACAGUAAGUGCUUAAUUAUCUUUGGACAGUUAAUUUAUUUCCAUUAGCUCAUUCAGGAUAGGGACAGGGUAGCUUUAUAAAUUAUUGGAUAAGAAAUUUGUGGUUAUUUCAUAUUUUGGCCCAUUCAGGACAAAAUCAUAAUCUGAGUCCUCAGCCAAUUCUCACUGAUGUAGGGUAUAAAGAGGAGAACUACAUGGCCUCACAUAUAAAUACUGAGAUUUAUAGUCCCUCGAAAAAUCUUUUUCUGUUUUCUGUUUUCACCCGCAAUAUGUGCCAUGGGCAUUCCUUCCAUAUUCACAAAUAAACAGGUAGCAUGCAAGCUGGGGUCAGCUUGGCAGAAGAAUUUUUUUUUUUUCCCCUGUUCUAUCUAUCUGUGAAUCUUUAAGUAGAUGAGCAGUGGUUUCUAAAAGCUUUCCCUGCUGUUUUCCUUUUCUAAGGAAUAUUUUCUAAAGAGCGUCUGAUAUGUCAUGAGUUCAGCAGCCCCAUAAUAGAGGAAGUUUGCCAUUGGCUGCAUUUCUCCCAAGAUAGGAGACAAAUCCUUCCGCACAGAUUUAUGUCAGCCUAACAGACAUGCAUUCAUCUCUGACUUAUUGUCAUUUUCUAAUUUUCUCGGGCUAAGCUGCAAAACCCAGUUUCACCCAUAAAGAUGCACAGAAAUCACUGCCCUGUAGAACCUGUCUGAGGAAUGUGUGCUCAUUUCUGAAUGUAACCCUGGCUGCCAAAUGUUGAGGGCAAGGCCUCUGCCACCCCCGAGGCAGGGCAGGUUUCCAAUUAGGCUAGUACUGUGCAGAGGGUGGAGAAUAAAGGUGUUUAACCCUUUCUUGCUUAUCAAGACUUCUCUGUACUUUUAGUAGAACAUUUCCAAAGUGGAAUAUGGGCUUCUACCUUCACAGCACUAUUUCUGUCUCCUCAUCACAGAGGCCAUUGGUCUAGGGGCAAUGAAAGCUGUUCAUGGUACUUGCCAGUGUGAGACCCAGGAACAGCUCAGGACUUCAACGGGAUGUACACAUGCUCACCAAGGAGCCUGAUAGCUCUGUCUGAAGCCAGGUCAGAGCUGCCCGUACAAAUGGUAUGCCCUGCAUAAGGGGCACCUUUUCCAGUCAGCACAAAGAUAUCAUCUGCUCCCCAAACUGUAAGUCCUUGAGGCAGUGAAUGCCAGCCAAAAAGGACAUUUUUUUUCUGAAUUUUUAUGAAACUGUCAUAUGGGCUAGCAGAGGGGGUGUGACCUGGCUAAGGGGAUGGUUCAGCUUAGGUUGACAGAAACAGAAAGUCCAGGAGCCAAGCUAGAAAUUCAGACAGCAGGUUGCCAAGGCUAAGAAGGGUGUUUAAAAGAAAGCAAAGCCAGUUAGCCCCCAUCUGAAGAGCUAUUCUGACUCUGUUCUCAACUUGAGAAAACAGGCCAGGCACACUUCUGAAGCCAGUGACUCAUGAGCAGCAUUUGAUUUAUGCUUACUUCCCCAGCUCCUGGGUGGGUGGAAGGGACAGAUAGGGUAAGGCAGAGCUAUGUUCUGGGCAGGGAAGUAGGUGUGGGGUAGAGCGUGGACUGGCCACCUCCAUAGGGCCCAUUCUCCGUAACCUGAGUCUGUAUCCUCAUCUUCCUCCUGAGCCCAGACCCUUGUGCCUGGCUGGCUGUUUUGGCAUCUUGAACUGCAUGUUCCUGUACCCCGCAAAUUUAGUCUAGAACUUUACCCUCUUCUCCCAGCAACUCCUCAUUCCGGCCAGAAACCUGGGAAUCCCCCAGUCUUGUUCUUCUCUCUUAAACUCACAUUUAUUGUCACCACAUCCUCUCUAGUCUGCGUUUCUAAUGAGAUGUUAACUCAUCCCCUUUGCACCCCUAAUAAUGCCCCUGCUCUGGGUCAGCUAUCUCUUACCUGAAAUGCAGCCUAUUCACCAGUCCUUUGCAUCCAGUAUCCCUCAUCCAUCAUCCAAAAUGCAAACAGAAUGAUCUUUUAAGAAGUUACAUGUGAUCCUGUCUCUGUUCUAUGGGAAAAUCCUGCAGUCUUCAUUUUUUUCAUAGAAAAUCAAAUAUUUGUGCAUGUUAGGCAAAGCUGUUCACAAUUUAGCAGUGUUUACCCGACCCCACCCAUCUCUCCUGUCUUGUCUCCAGCUUUCACUUGAUAUUCCAGCCAUAUCAAGCUACUUUUGGAUUCUUCUCAUACUCUGUAUUUGCACCAUUCACUCCUUGAACCUAGAAUUCGCUUUGUAUCUUGUUCACAUUGAUUCACCUUAGUAGGUUCUGAAGACUCCAUCUGCAGGAAGGGCCACGUUCUUCUAGCAAUUGUCACAUUAAUAUUAUCUAUAUAUUUCUUUGUUUUUCCUUUCACCAACCUUGAAACAAUGUGAAGUCCAGACUGUGUCACUUAUCUCAUUAACCGAAGUGCUAGCACAGUAACUCUACAUUAUAGUUACUCAUCAAAUAUUUAGACUGUGGUAUCUUCUAGUUAUUUCAGUAGGGUCUCUUUUCUACUGUGGGGCAGUAGCAGAAGUUGCUCCUCAGACACAUUUGGACUAAUGUUUUGGCAAAGUUUUAAUACUAGAAAGAAAGGUGGAUAUAUAUUCAUACCACAGAAAGUUACAGGUUAAGAAUUGAAGCGUUAUCAGGGGUGAAGACUUUCUAGCUAAGAGAAAUUUCUAGAGGAAUUUUUCUUCCACCCAGUCAGACUUCUGGCCCUGUCCCUUUCUUUUUCCUCUGAGAGCACUGGCGUUUGGGCAUCAUACUGCCCUGCCCAUUGCCACCUUCUUUGUUUUCAACUAUUAUUUCUUUCAGUUCUCGACUUGUGAGAAAUAAGAAAAGUACCUCCAGCAAGGACAACUCUUCACUGCAAGUUUUUCUAAGGGUUUUAAUUGGAAGUUAUAAGAGAUAGUGAGCAAAGGGGCGCCACAUAAUAUCCUCCUAUGUGUAGUUUUUAUUUUUCCCAAAAAGGUGUUGGGGGGCGGUAAGACAGAUAAGCGGCGUGUCUCAUGUGAGGCUCAUCUAUACUUUGGGGGCCAUCUAUAUCCAGUGGAUUUCCUGGCGUCUAAAUAAAGAAGAUAAGGAGGAGCCAAGAAAUAGCUGAGGUCUUUGUACGAGGUGGGGUGGAACGGGGGCUAGAGAUGUGGGAUGAUCCUGUACCUUAGCUGGAGGAGAGGUAGUGAUGGAAAGGGAAGGGAGAGCCCUCGGGGGUGCUGCUGCAGGAGAACUCCAGCAUCUCAUUCCUUCUCUCCUGCCAUUAUUUUUAGCAUACCUACCCCAUGAUUCCCUACUUGGGAUCCGCAGCGGGGAAGUUCAAAGGGUUUUGGCACAACCAGAAGGAUAAGGAGAAGGACAUGUGAAACAUAGCAGCAGCUAUGAGGGAAGCAGCAUUACUCUGGCCGCCAGGCUGUGGUGGUAAUUUCCAGGGACUCUCUGUAUGUAAACAGUGGCCCAGCAGAUAUAAAAUAGAGACUGCUCAUUAUUGUUCUUGAAAAAGUGACAUCCCGGAGAAAAAACACUAGUCUUUAUACUGCGUUUCAUGAUUAACUAUGACGAACUGUUCUAGAAUGUUUAGGUCCUUCCUUUUGUCCCUCUGGAUUUAGAGAGUAUUUGCUGGAGUUAAUGGAUACAGAGCCAUGACUGGGUAAAAUGACAUCUGUUUAGGGAACACAGCCCAGUUGCAGGGUUGAAAACAUGCAGUCACAAGCCACAUGUGGCCACUGCAUUCUUGACGCCCUGACUAGAUUAUCUGCCUAUGAGAUCAUCCCGGCUAGCAACCAAACAUAUCUCUCCUCUGAAUUAUUGAAAAAUAUUUUAGAACAUGAGGUGUCUGAAAAAAUCCAAGGCUUUCAUUUUGAUUUGUUUUAUCACCUUACUGAUUACACACGUUUCCUCUAUGGCCUGAAUGGACAGCAGCAUCAACUGUGGCAAUAAAUCCUUCACGCUGUGGACCUGUGUGGCACACAGGCCUGGGCUGAAGUUACACACCAGAUGGCAACUGAAAAUGAUUUGAUAUCUAUAGUAAGUUGGUAUGUAGAGAAGAUGCAUUUACAAGUGAAACAGGAUGUAUAUUUUGCAGUGAUUUGAGAACAUUGAACAAGUUAGCCGGCAAAUACUAAUGAGUGCCUACUCUAUGUAGAACCUUUUUAGAGUUGCUGUUUUGGUGUCGAGCUGUCUGGAUGUAGGACUUAGAAAUACGACGAACAUAUCACAUCCUAUAACAAGAUUGGAAAAAUAAUGAUUUCUCACUUUUCCAGGUUUCUCCACUGUUAAUUUUCUAUGUUACAGACUUGGAAGAGGGAUUAGGAACAUUUUAGUCAUCAAGGAUGUGUUUUCUGUGGCUUUUUGCAUAGGGCAUGUGUUAUGACCUUAAGUGACCUUGGAAAGACAGGCCCUAAUGGGAUGGCCAUUGAUUCGGCGUUCUAAAUGGAUCUGGUCCCUUAACAUCCUAGCAGGGUCCUAAAGACUUAUCCAGAUAAGUCUCCAUUAGGAUGUACAGAGUACAGAAGUGUCUGUGACUUUCUGGUCAGAAAUGUCAGCGUCCUGAGGUACGUGUUCUUCCAUAAUUAUACAACUGUCCCUGGAGAGUGAAUGGGUUAUGAGUCAGUGAACCUGUGCCAUUGCCAUGACCUGUGUCACCUCUUGGUCCCACCGUCCCCAAGCUGCUGUAACCAAGGAUGACAUUGCCUUCCCCACAGUAGAGACAUAGGAGCCUAAAUUAUUGUUCUAUACUGUGUCCCACUUCCAUGAAGCAAAAAGGAAGUUUGCUCAAAACUUCCUAGAUUUCCCCGCAUUUUAUUGGAGGAAUCCAAGAGACAGUUCUACUGCAAGGAAGAACGCUAUGAAUUGGCCAUUCCUGAAGUACAAUGUCUUGAAAGACUUGACAUGACUUUUAGCUGCUAAAGUACUGUAUCUUGACAGAUUUGAGGAGUCACAUGCAGGCACUUUUCUAUUGCUUUAUUUUGAAAUUAGAUUUCUAUCCUUAUCCUCUAGGAAGACAAGCAGUGAAUGGGCUGCCAGUCACCUGUGGCUGGUGGGGGAGAAGAGAGGCAAUUUGAUUGAAUAAUUCAUACCAACGUGUAAAUUACUGAAAGCCCUUUAACACUCUCAGGGAUAUUUGCAUUUUUAAAAGAUUCUCUCUUAACCAAAAAUAAAUCUGUGGUUGGGAGGAGGGGGUAAUUCUGGCCUUGUAGCACAGGACGAUAAAAGCAAAUCAAGCAAUACACAGGAAGCCGGUUCAGAGAUGGGUGAGGGGGCUGAACUCUAGAGACUUGUACUGUAAAUGGUUCCUGCUUUCCCACAGCCUUUUAACUGAUUCUCUUAAAGCCUUAAAUGUCUUUUUAACGGGUCCCAGGCAGAACUUGAGGCUGGAGAAUGUUCUAUUGCAAGGACGAACAUGGCUGGGAGGAGUAGGAGGUAGAGAGGGCACGAAGAUAGAGCAGGUGGUUCUUCAUAUAUUCUGUAUAUUUUGGUCAUUAUAAUUUGAAAACAUUAGGGUUUAAAAAUGGUUUGUUAUAAAUGUGUCUGUGCAUGGAUUGAUUUGCCUGUACAAAUAUCAGAAGUGUAAAAAUAAUGGCAAACCACAGUGGCGAAAAUAAGUUUUUCUGUUUAUGUCAAGCACUUGGAAAAUAUUCAGCCUCAUUGCUCCCUUGGGCUGGAUUGACACUGCCUAUGAACUUCGUUCAAGAAAAACACAACCGGUUUCACCAUCCAUGUUUAUUAACUCCACAUUCUCAGAGGAAUCUUUAUGUACUCCUUUGAAUAUCAGGGCUAAAUUUGUUUCACUCCAAGUGGAACUGUCUCACUGGAUGUAAUUUUCCAGGAAAUCAGUUUUCUUUUCCUAGACCAGGAGGGCUAUCUGUGAAUAUUCUGCCAUUGCUUUGCCUACUUUUUGUUAAGUCUCCAGACAUUAUUUCAGGAAUAAGGGAAAGGUUUUUUUUGUGUUUUUGUUUUUGUUUUCUUUCUUAUGGAAUAACUUUAGGGUCAGCGUACUUGCUGCGAGUGGUAGUGGUGGGUACUUAAGUCUAUCCUCCACCACCUGUGGCUAAGAUAGAGGGAAUCAAACAGAAUUGUUAGUUGAAUGGGGGUGUUAAUGCCAUAGAAAAAGAAAAUAGGACUGGAGAUUUGAGCUUGAAUUAAGAAUGAGGGAAGAGGAGGCGAGGUAAGACCGAGACCUAGAAUGCAAAGGUAAAAGCUCUAGGUCAGCUCUGGCCAUAGAAGUAUAAAAGUGAGCCAUGUAUGUACCUUUAAAUUUUCUAGCCACU